AACGAACGCUGGCGGCAUGCCUAAUACAUUCAAGUCGAACGAGACCCUUCGGGUCGUAGUGGCGCACGGGUGCGUAACGCGUGGGAAUCUGCCCUUGGGUUCGGAAUAACAGUUGGAAACGACUGCUAAUACCGGAUGAUGACGAAAGUCCAGAGAUUUAUCGCCCAGGGAUGAGCCCGCGUAGGAUUAGCUAGUUGGUG
Molecule: ribosomal RNA, 200 nt
Filed under: uncultured bacterium
Lineage: Bacteria
Description: partial 16S ribosomal RNA
Rfam family: Bacterial small subunit ribosomal RNA
Source: RNAcentral